RNAcentral lists this long non-coding RNA (779 nucleotides) under Numida meleagris (helmeted guineafowl). RNAcentral's name for it is "lncRNA (ENSNMEG00000001587.1)". Lineage: Eukaryota; Metazoa; Chordata; Aves; Galliformes; Numididae. The record is from RNAcentral.
UUCCUGUGGCCUAGAGGAAUUCUGGCUGUCCCAGCUGUGUGGUGGAUCUGGGGAAGGGGAAACUCGCCUCCAGUUUUGUGCUUCUGUUGGCUUCUGUAAACUGUGGAUCAAUGCCAUCUGUAAAUGGGAUAUGCCAGCAAGGUGGACGGACAUCCAUUUGGGAAGGAAGAUGGAAUGCACAUCAGGAAACUGUGGAUUUUUCAAUGCUGAAUGUCUUUAAAGGUAUGACAUAGUUGGCAUGAAGUCAAUGCCUCGCCUGGUGUUUGUCACUCCUGGUGGCGUGUGUUGCUGUGCUUUUGUCUCAUGCAGCUAGUGUGGGCUGCAGGAGAAUCUCACACACAAUGCAAGUCAAGGUUCUUCACAUCUCUUGUUUUCUCUGCUGGCCACGUUUUUCAUGUGGGCUGUGCAACAGACUGUUCCCUGCUGGAGGAAUAACUUCAGGUUAUCCAUAUGGGUGUCCUGCAACCAUGAAGCACAAGGAGAGAUGACUUUCAUCAAGAGAGGUGGCCAAACUAGUCAAGGAGCUGUCUGGACUGAAGAGUUUGCCCGUUUAAAAUGUUUUGGAAUCCAUCCACUUUGGCUUUUCGCUAGAUUUUUCAUGGCAUUGAAAAACACAGUUGGACAUUUAUCCUACUCACUGGAGUCCUCAAUUUUAUUUCCAUCUGGAAUCGCACACCAGUACUUGUGGGGCAGUUAACUUGGCUGAGGAAAGUGUUAUGGAAUUAUCCUUUGAACUUAGUGAGUAUCUACUUAAUAGGUAAGUUCCAGUUGAUCACAGU